This 658-nucleotide ribosomal RNA is filed under the name Enterobacter hormaechei. Its description in RNAcentral is "bacterial SSU rRNA". It matches the Rfam family "Bacterial small subunit ribosomal RNA", at positions 40 to 687 of the family's 1533-position model. Lineage: Bacteria; Pseudomonadati; Pseudomonadota; Gammaproteobacteria; Enterobacterales; Enterobacteriaceae. The record is from RNAcentral.
CUGCAGGCCUAACACAUGCAAGUCGAACGGUAACAGGAAGCAGCUUGCUGCUUUGCUGACGAGUGGCGGACGGGUGAGUAAUGUCUGGGAAACUGCCUGAUGGAGGGGGAUAACUACUGGAAACGGUAGCUAAUACCGCAUAACGUCGCAAGACCAAAGAGGGGGACCUUCGGGCCUCUUGCCAUCGGAUGUGCCCAGAUGGGAUUAGCUAGUAGGUGGGGUAACGGCUCACCUAGGCGACGAUCCCUAGCUGGUCUGAGAGGAUGACCAGCCACACUGGAACUGAGACACGGUCCAGACUCCUACGGGAGGCAGCAGUGGGGAAUAUUGCACAAUGGGCGCAAGCCUGAUGCAGCCAUGCCGCGUGUAUGAAGAAGGCCUUCGGGUUGUAAAGUACUUUCAGCGGGGAGGAAGGCGAUAAGGUUAAUAACCUUGUCGAUUGACGUUACCCGCAGAAGAAGCACCGGCUAACUCCGUGCCAGCAGCCGCGGUAAUACGGAGGGUGCAAGCGUUAAUCGGAAUUACUGGGCGUAAAGCGCACGCAGGCGGUCUGUCAAGUCGGAUGUGAAAUCCCCGGGCUCAACCUGGGAACUGCAUUCGAAACUGGCAGGCUAGAGUCUUGUAGAGGGGGGUAGAAUUCCAGGUGUAGCGGUGAAAU